AAUCCAUGGAGGAAAGGGUUAAAUAGAUAUAGUAAGAUAUAUAUCUUUAAUGAAAAGUGAAAAUUUCAGGAAAGGUUUGUAAUUCAUGUGUAUUACUAUUUGUGUUAAUAUAGAAAUUUAUGUGUUUUAUCAUAUUUACGAGUGUAGCUUACAAACUAGAGGCUCUAAAGAGCCUGUGUCGCUCACCUUGGUCUAUGUGCAUAUUAAACAAAGGACACAAAUGGAUUCAUGACAAAAUUGUAUUUUGGUGAUGGUGAUGUGUUUGAAGUUCUUACUUUACUGAACGAUUUUGCUUCUUACAAUUAUAUCUAUCAUGAACUUUGCCCAUUAGUAACAGAGAACUAUAUUUGGUAAAAAUUUACAUAAAUUUACCCAAUUAA
RNAcentral lists this long non-coding RNA (380 nucleotides) under Mytilus galloprovincialis (Mediterranean mussel). Lineage: Eukaryota; Metazoa; Mollusca; Bivalvia; Mytilida; Mytilidae. The record is from RNAcentral.